GGCAUGGUGGCCAAGUGGUAAGGCUUUGGUCUUGUAAACCAGAGAUCAUGGGUUCAAACCCCAUCCAUGCCU
RNAcentral lists this transfer RNA (72 nucleotides) under Hippoglossus stenolepis (Pacific halibut). RNAcentral's name for it is "tRNA-Thr". It matches the Rfam family "tRNA". From Rfam's summary of the family: Transfer RNA (tRNA) molecules are approximately 80 nucleotides in length. Lineage: Eukaryota; Metazoa; Chordata; Actinopteri; Pleuronectiformes; Pleuronectidae. The record is from RNAcentral.